Molecule: long non-coding RNA, 636 nt
Filed under: Equus caballus (horse)
Lineage: Eukaryota; Metazoa; Chordata; Mammalia; Perissodactyla; Equidae
Description: lncRNA (ENSECAG00000031819.2)
Source: RNAcentral
GUGAGUUACAUAGUGUCGAUUUUUCUUCAUUGGAAUCAGAUGUAUGACUUUGCACGCCCUCCAGCCCCUUUUGCAAAGCAUGUUAGUCUUCUAGCACCCAAAAGUGAUCUUGGUAAUUACAUAAUCUCUGCAAGACUUUCUGGAUAUAUCAUAAUACAUUUGUGAAAGAGAGAGAGAAAAGUGCUAUUUUAACCAACAGUUGAGCAACAAUUAAAGAAUUACUCAAGAAUCAAGAGUAACGUGCUAUGGUGAGUUUUGAGAGAGAAAAUGGUUUGUCAGAAUUAUCUGAUCCUGUCAGGACCCUGCAAGUUCUGCAAAUGGGAGGAGGUGACUCCACCAGAACGGGGAGGCCUGUGAAUUUUGAAACUGCAGAAUUUGUUCCAAAUUGGAAAGAGAAAACCAGAGAGGCAGCAGAUAUCCACAGGGGUGUCCUUGCAUCUCUGCAGUAAGGGAUACCAUACAACUGAGGAGAAGAAAAGCAGGAACAAUAGCCAACAAUGGUGCAAAUUAAACUGGCAAUAGAACAGGAAGAAAAGACAGCCUUCAGAGUGGCUUGGACCGCAGAGUGAAUUUUCAGCUGGAAAGUUAAAGAGAUCUCCUGUGGAAUACUUCCCACCCCAGCUACGGAAAGCCAGG